UCUCCCAAGUGCUGGAAUGAAAAGCAUGUACCACCAUCCCUUGGCUUUUUUUUUUCCUCUAAGAGUAGUGAGUGACUGAGAUACUCAACAGCUAGCUGUUAGUGGGGGCACUUGUGGGAAUGUGUGAAAACGAAAAGUAGGGCUUGUGUUGUUUUUAUUUGAAACUGGGUCUUUCUCUGCAGCCACGGCUAGCCUAGAGCUUAGAUGUGCAAACUUGUUCCAUUAGAGGAAUGCCCCCACCUUUGCUGGCCUUGAAUUCACAGAGAUCGCCUGCCUCUGCUGGGCUUAAAGGUGUGCAGUGCUGUUGGUUACACCCAGGACCUUGUAUAUGUUAGACUACCCAAUUGUACCGUGAAGCCACUUCCCCGGAUGGUUUUGGAAAAGCUAAGUGCCUUCCUGGGAAUAUGAUUCUUAGAAUAGGAUGCAAGCAGAACCAGUAGUCAGGCACCAAGACCUUGAAAUUCUCACAUUCCUGCUGCAUCGGUUUCUCAGCCAUUCUGAAUGCAACCAGCAGGGGGCGCCAGGGCCUCACGUUCCUCUGGGUGUCGGGUACCUAAGAAGCUGCCGGUGUUGUUUCUUGGCAGGAGAUGGGAGAUGACCUCUAUGUGUCUUUUCUGCCUGUUCAGACGGAGUUCUUUUCUGCAGAGGAAGAAAAGCAAGAGAAGAUGAGAUGACUCACUGGGUAAAGGGAUCUGCCACCAAACCCAGUCCCUGGGAUUCACAGGUAGAGGGGAGAACUGGCUCAGAGCUGUACUCUGCAGUCAUGCACCCGCCACCCCCAAACAAACAAACAAACAAACAAACAAACAAACAAACAAACAAACAUUUACAAAAAGUAAGAACUGGGCUAGGAAACUGGAGGAAUGAACCAGGGCGGUACCCAUAGGUCAUCUAUUUGAAUGCUUGGUUUCUGGUUGGGGGAAUUGUUUAAGAAGGACUAGGAAGUAUGACCUUAUUGGGGGAAUAUGUCACUGGGGGUGGGUCUUGAGUUUUCAAAAGGCCAGGUGAGACCCAGUGUUUCUCUUUGCUUACAGCUGCAGACCAGAAGUAAACUCUCAGCUCCAUCUCCAGCGCCCACGCCUGCCUGCUGUCACGCUCCCCUCCUCGAUGACCGUGGACUCACUGAAACUGUAAACAAGCUCCCAAUUCAAUGCUUUUAUUUUUAAAAAACUUUUCACUGAUUCGUCCUGAGUUUCACACCAUGUACAUCUCCCUGUCCCCUCCUAUCUGCCUUCUGCCCUUGCAACCCCCCCAAAUAAAGCACCCCCCCCAUGUAUUGUUAA
This 1283-nucleotide small RNA is filed under the name Rattus norvegicus (Norway rat). RNAcentral's name for it is "uncharacterized LOC103693272". The record is from RNAcentral. Lineage: Eukaryota; Metazoa; Chordata; Mammalia; Rodentia; Muridae.